UAUCACCUGCUGUUUUAUGUAGCUGGCCCAAUUGGGACCAAUAAUUCUGAUUUCUCCAUCUUGUCUCUCUAGAAGGAAGUCCCUUCCCAUAGCCAGCCACUGCCAUGCAUGUGGAGUGACGGCAGAGGCCCAUGUGGCCUGUGUGCACUGUGAUGUUCUCUGCAUCAACAUGGACAGAACGUGUGGGAAAAGUAAGAAAAAGAAUGCAAUGUACACCAUAAUGCCCUUUAUGUAAAUUAAAGCACAUACACAUACAAAACAGCCCAAUAUGUUAUGUAAAAAAAUCCAUGAUUAUUUGGUUAUUUGAGGACUUGUAUAAAACACCUUACACUGGGUCUGGGGGUAGAAGCAGGGGGAUAGCCAGGAAAUCAGGGGUAAAAGGGAAAACAAUACAGCAGGAGAGGAGCCUUGAACAGAUUAUACUGAUAAAUGCAAUUGAUUAAAUCUGUCUGUGAGGUCCCCAAAGUAAACAGAAGCAAGAAAUCAUUUGGCAAAGCAAAUAGCCUCUUGUACUGUACAGAGGGUGAUCUUUAAAUGCUGGCCCUAAGCUUAAGGCAGAGAAGUUUCAUGAUGGGAAACCAGGUCAGGAAAGAUAGAAGCAGAAUGGAGGAGAAAAGAAAGAAAGAAAGAGAAGAAGAAAGAAAGAAGGAAGGAAGGAAGGAGGGAGGGAAGGAGAGGCAAAGAGAAAGAGAGAGACACAAAGAGAAGAGAGAAGAAAGGAAGAAAGAAGAAAGAAAGAAAGGAAGAAAGAAAGAAAGAAAGAAAGAAAGAAAGAAAGAAAGAAAGAAAGAAAGAAAGAAAAGAAAAGAAGAAAAUACACAGAGAGGCAGAGAAACAGUAGGAAAGAGGGAAGGAGGAAGGAAGGAAGGAGGGAAGGAAUGAAGGAAGGGAGGGAGGGAGGGAAGGAGGGAAGGGAAGGGAAGGGAAGGAAGGAAGGGAAGGAAGGAAGAUGACCAACCUAAGUGAACUCUGGGAACAACGGUGAAUGUUUGUGUUUAUAUAAACAUGUUACUUUAAGAUGGUUGACUCCUUACAGACAAAGGCCAUAUUUUCAUCACUUCCUAUAAAACCUCUCUACAAUACCCAACAAAGUGAGAGGUCCUUGGUGUUCCCAAAGCAUUUAAGAGAUAACAACAGUAAUGUCCAUGUGAGAUCCUCGCGCUGGUGUGUGGUUUCUGAAGUGCAUCCUGCAAUGUGAAAUGGUAGCUGCUAUUCGGUGUUGAUAACCUCAGUUCACUGUGGAUCCCAUCCGACAACGCGUGAAGUCAAGAAAAGCCAACUGUGACCCCACUGAGGGGGAAGCAUCUAGUCUCUGCUUCCUGAACAGACUGUUCCAAAAACGGGGCUGUUGUUUCAGUUACUUACAGUAAUAAAACCACCGCGACCCCAUAUCCAUCUUUCCACAUUCCCCACCUCCCAUCCUACCCAAGGUCAUGAAUAUCAAACUUGGAAAGGAAAAGAAUGAAGGACGUCUCCCCCAGCAAUUAAAAUUAAGUCCUUUUUCUUGCCUCCAACUAAAAUCUUGGACGUGAUGGCAGUUGCAUUUAGCGGGAUCCCAAAUGCUGCUUUUAUAUGCCAGCAUUCCAUUCGGGGGGCUGAUUUGUAGGUUUAAAAAUAUGCAAUGUAUGAAAGAGAGGCUCAUUUAUUUAUUUCCUCCCUUGACUGACCUUGGGCCUUGAUUUAUCUCAAAACCAAGAGAAUUUUCCUCUUGGUAAAGGAGGACUAAUUCUUUCAGUGAGUCCUUGAUAGUUUCUGCCAUCAAAAACAAACCAUAAGCUGAAUGUACAGAAAUGCCCUGCAUUUAAGAAAGAUGACAUGGGGAGUAGUAAAAGCAGGAGGAAGAGAAGUGUGAGAAGAAAAAGAAGCAGGGAAAAUCAGGGGGAAAGUGAUGUUGAACAAAUCAUGCACAUUUCAAGAUUUUUAAAAAAGCAAUGCGUUUGGGGAUGGAUAGCUGUCACCCUUGCCACCUUGGAGGAAAGUUUUGCUGGCUAACUGGCUAUUGUCAAGCAGGCCGGGCUGGUGGCCUCGGCGGGCUGGCUGACCUUCCCCUGACUCCAAGAGGAAAGAAAUAGUGAGGCUCUGUGUCCUGCGAGUCGGGCCUUCCUGUGACCUGAGUGCAACGUCUCAGCCCCUCUCCGACAACCCUCCAGCAAAGCUUGCUGGAGCUCUUGGUUUAUUUUUUCAGGUGAGUGAACGCCGUAUCAAAUACUGGUUUCUCAGUUGCUUUUAAUUAGGCUUCUGGGUUCCACUCUUUCAUCUCGCCUGAAAUCUGCAUCACUUUUCUCCAGCUAUUUCAGGUUCUAAAGCCACGGGUUUGCUUUCAUUCAGCUAAUUGAAGGCACACAGGAAAGGAGAAGGGGGAUAAUCCCAAUCAUUGGACAUUUUUUAGGGCUGUGAUAAACCACACAUUUUUUAGCAACAGAAAACCACUUUCAAAACGUUAACUCUGCGGCCUCUGCUCAGGGGCUGGAGGGCCUACCCCUGAGGCUUCAAGGUUCAUGUCAUGUGGGAUUCUCUGAGACUCCUCGAUGCAGGUAGAGAGCAGGAGGGCAGGUGAGAUGCCGUGAUGUGACGGAACAGGCCCCAUCACUGUCCCUUUCUGGUGUCGAGCUACUGGGAACAUCGCUGUUGAACUGUGUAUCUGCAAAGCUCUGGGGUGGAGGCCCAGCCACACACAACAUCGGAGAACAGAGCUGAUGCUGAUGUCCCCUGAAGUGUCAGCCAGCAGCCAGGUGCUUGCUUAAUCCCAGAAAGGGCAGUAUAUAUUUUUCAGUAAAAUUUUAUUAAAUCCUAAUAGCAGAUCUUUUUUUGUGGAGCAAAAAACUCUUGAAAACUAUAUUCAUGAGGUAUGUAUAAUUUGUUGGUUUUACCAAGGCUUUUUAGUAAACAAGCUU
RNAcentral lists this long non-coding RNA (2894 nucleotides) under Homo sapiens (human). RNAcentral describes it as "HSALNT0099788". Lineage: Eukaryota; Metazoa; Chordata; Mammalia; Primates; Hominidae. The record is from RNAcentral.